This is a long non-coding RNA of Sphaerodactylus townsendi, 145 nucleotides long. RefSeq lists it as uncharacterized. The transcript has 3 exons. NCBI's taxonomy places the organism in Eukaryota, Metazoa, Chordata, Lepidosauria, Squamata, Sphaerodactylidae. The record is from RefSeq and is a predicted model, not a curated record.
CUCCCCACAACAGACACCUUGUGAGGUAGGAGGGCUGAGAGAGUUCUGAGAGAACUGUGACCAGCCCAAGGUCACCCAGCAGGCUUCAUGUACAGGAGCAGGAAAUUGAACCCAGCCCUCCAGAUAAGACUCCUCCACUGAUGUG